RNAcentral lists this ribosomal RNA (470 nucleotides) under uncultured bacterium. Its description in RNAcentral is "bacterial SSU rRNA". It matches the Rfam family "Bacterial small subunit ribosomal RNA", at positions 28 to 498 of the family's 1533-position model. The record is from RNAcentral.
GAUGAACGCUAGCGGCAGGCUUAACACAUGCAAGUCGAGGGGUAUAGGGAGCUUGCUUCCUAGAGACCGGCGCACGGGUGCGUAACGCGUAUGCAAUCUACCUUUUGCAGAGGAUAGCCCAGAGAAAUUUGGAUUAAUACCUCAUAGUAUGUGAGAAUGGCAUCAUUUUCACAUUAAAGUCACAGCGGCAAAAGAUGAGCAUGCGUCCCAUUGGCUUGUUGGUAAGGUAACGGCUUACCAAGGCAACGAUGGGUAGGGGUCCUGAGAGGGAGAUCCCCCACACUGGUACUGAGACACGGACCAGACUCCUACGGGAGCAGCAGUGAGGAAUAUUGGACAAUGGGCGCAAGCCUGAUCCAGCCAUGCCGCGUGCAGGAAGAAGCAUCUAUGGUGUGUAAACUGCUUUUUGUACGGGAAGAAACACUCCUACGUGUAGGAGCUUGACGGUACCGUAAGAAUAAGGAUCGGCU